Cannabis sativa is the source of this 256-nucleotide long non-coding RNA. RefSeq lists it as uncharacterized. The transcript is spliced from 3 exons. The record is from RefSeq and is a predicted model, not a curated record. Lineage: Eukaryota; Viridiplantae; Streptophyta; Magnoliopsida; Rosales; Cannabaceae.
UCUUUUGACGAUGCGGCAAGACGAUUGGCUAAUUGGUUAUCAUUAAUGAACAGCAACCACCAAAUGUUCUUUAUUCCUUGGAAUAUCGGGAUGCAUUGGACGCUAGUGGUGGUUGCGCCAAAGAAAAUUAUCCAUUUAAACCCUCUAAAAGGCCGCCCAAUUCCCGAAGAAAUAGAACAAAUGAUCGGAAGGGCAUUCAUGUAUAUAGGGGACGCACAUCAGUAUCUUGGCCCGUGGCAAGGAAUUGCACAAGCAA